Molecule: long non-coding RNA, 355 nt
Organism: Balaenoptera musculus (blue whale)
Lineage: Eukaryota; Metazoa; Chordata; Mammalia; Artiodactyla; Balaenopteridae
Exons: 3
Source: RefSeq, a predicted model, not a curated record
GGCUCGGCGGCGCGCCCGGCUGGCGCCGACUCCGCGGCCUCUAUGGGGAGUGGAUGCGGGAAGUGAGCGUUUGCCUCCAAACAAACAUUAUUUUGAGAAUUUUGGCUCGGGAAAUGAGACAGAAGGUGGUGUUAUCUAAUCAGGAAUGGUAUAUUCCAGCAGCCAACCAAAAGAUCACCAAAUGGCCAAAGCCAGAACAAUGGUUAGGGUGAAGUCCAGGCUGCAUAUGUGGUCUCCACGGACACUGCCCUGGGAGUUGGGAGCUUAUCACUGCCUGACGUGGAUGAGAGAUCCAGUUCCCUACUCUGCUUUUUCUGACACCACCUGGUGGGAUUUUGAACACCUCCAUGCAGCC